RNAcentral lists this transfer RNA (87 nucleotides) under Bacillota bacterium. RNAcentral's name for it is "tRNA-Leu". It matches the Rfam family "tRNA". From Rfam's summary of the family: Transfer RNA (tRNA) molecules are approximately 80 nucleotides in length. Their secondary structure includes four short double-helical elements and three loops (D, anti-codon, and T loops). Lineage: Bacteria; Bacillati; Bacillota. The record is from RNAcentral.
GCCGGAGUGGCGGAAUGGCAGACGCAGGGGACUUAAAAUCCUUUGUCCCGAAAGGACGUGCGGGUUCGACUCCCGCCUCCGGCACCA